This 600-nucleotide ribosomal RNA is filed under the name uncultured bacterium. RNAcentral's name for it is "bacterial SSU rRNA". It matches the Rfam family "Bacterial small subunit ribosomal RNA", at positions 338 to 951 of the family's 1533-position model. The record is from RNAcentral.
CCUACGGGAGGCAGCAGUAGGGAAUUUUCCACAAUGGGCGAAAGCCUGAUGGAGCAAUACCGCGUGCAGGAUGAAGGCCUUCGGGUCGUAAACUGCUUUUAUGUGCGAAGAAUUUGACGGUAACACAUGAAUAAGGAUCGGCUAACUACGUGCCAGCAGCCGCGGUCAUACGUAGGAUCCAAGCGUUAUCCGGAAUUACUGGGCGUAAAGAGUUGCGUAGGUGGCAUUAUAAGUGGAGCGUGAAAGCGUGCGGCUCAACCGCAUUAUUGCGUUCCAAACUGUGAAGCUUGAGUAUGGGAGAGGUAGAUGGAAUUUCUAGUGUAGGAGUGAAAUCCGUAGAUAUUAGAAGGAACACCGAUGGCGUAGGCAGUCUACUGGCCCAUUACUGACACUAAGGCACGAAAGCGUGGGGAGCAAACGGGAUUAGAUACCCCGGUAGUCCACGCUGUAAACUAUGGAUGCUAGCUGUGACACACAUCGACCUGUGUCGUAGCGAAGUUAACGCGUUAAGCAUCCCGCCUGGGGGNGGUACGGUCGCGAGAAUAAACUACGAAGAAGUAGACGCGUGAGACGCGCCGACGACGACGACGAGGGAGGAGG